This 441-nucleotide ribosomal RNA is filed under the name uncultured Eubacteriales bacterium. RNAcentral describes it as "bacterial SSU rRNA". It matches the Rfam family "Bacterial small subunit ribosomal RNA", at positions 338 to 795 of the family's 1533-position model. The record is from RNAcentral. Lineage: Bacteria; Bacillati; Bacillota; Clostridia; Eubacteriales.
CCUACGGGCGGCUGCAGUGGGGAAUAUUGGGCAAUGGGGGAAACCCUGACCCAGCAACGCCGCGUGAGCGAAGAAGGCCUUCGGGUUGUAAAGCUCUGUCCUCGGGGACGAAGGAUGACGGUACCCGAGAAGAAAGCCACGGCUAACUACGUGCCAGCAGCCGCGGUAAUACGUAGGUGGCAAGCGUUGUCCGGAAUUACUGGGCGUAAAGGGCGAGUAGGCGGUCAUGCAAGUCAGAUGUGAAAGGCGCGGGCUCAACUUGCGCAUUGCAUUUGAAACUGUGUGACUUGAGUGCAGGAGAGGAAAGCGGAAUUCCCAGUGUAGCGGUGAAAUGCGUAGAUAUUGGGAGGAACACCAGUGGCGAAGGCGGCUUUCUGGCCUGUAACUGACGCUGAUGCGCGAAAGCGUGGGGAGCAAACAGGAUUAGAUACCCUGGUAGUC